CCCGGGGAUAAUGACGGUACCGGAGAAAAAGCCCCGGCUAACUACGUGCCAGCAGCCGCGGUAAUACGGAGGGGGCGAGCGUUUUUCGGAAUUACUGGGCGUAAAGCGCGCGCAGGCGGUGUUGUAAGUCAGGGGUGAAAUCCCGGGGCUUAACCUGGGAACUGCGUUUGAGACUGCAGGUCUGGAGUGCGGCAGAGGGGGGUGGAAUUCCGAGUGUAGCAGUGAAAUUCGUAGAUAUGCGGAGGAACACCGGUGGCGAAGGCGAUUCCCUGGCCCUGCACUGACGCUGAGGCGCGAAAGCGUGGGGAGCAAACAGGAUUAGAUACCCUGGUAGUCCACGCCGUAAACGAUGUCA
Molecule: ribosomal RNA, 355 nt
Filed under: uncultured bacterium
Lineage: Bacteria
Description: bacterial SSU rRNA
Rfam family: Bacterial small subunit ribosomal RNA
Source: RNAcentral